CAGCCGCCGCGGUAAUACGUAGGGGGCGAGCUUUACCCGGAUUCACUGGGCGUAAAGGGGGUGUAGGCGGCUCGGUAAGUCGGGUGUGAAAUCCCACGGCUCAACCGUGGAAUUGCGCCCGAAACUGCCGAGCUUGGGGCCGGUAGAGGGAGACGGAACUGCCGGUGUAGGGGUGAAAUCCGUAGAUAUCGGCAGGAACGCCGGUGGGGAAGCCGGUCUCCUGGGCCGCGCCCGACGCUGAGGCCCGAAAGCUAGGGGAGCAAACCGGAUUAGAUACCCGGGUAGUCCUAGCCGUAAACGAUGCCCACUAGGUGUGGGGGAGUAUUUCCUCCGUGCUGGAGCUAACGCGUUAAGUGGGCCGCCUGGGGAGUACGCCCGCAAGGGUGAAACUUAAAGGAAUUGGCGGG
Molecule: ribosomal RNA, 407 nt
Filed under: uncultured microorganism
Description: bacterial SSU rRNA
Rfam family: Bacterial small subunit ribosomal RNA
Source: RNAcentral